Molecule: long non-coding RNA, 1061 nt
Organism: Egretta garzetta (little egret)
Lineage: Eukaryota; Metazoa; Chordata; Aves; Pelecaniformes; Ardeidae
Exons: 3
Source: RefSeq, a predicted model, not a curated record
CAGCCAGCAGUGGUUCUCCUGUCCUUAAGAGCACACCAGGAGCUGGGAAGCAACAAGCAGUUAAAAAUCAGAAAUCAUCCCCUGAAUUUCCCAGGAGCUUUAGCCUUUCGGUUAUGCAGAGGACAAUUACUACAUUUUUUUAUCCUCAAUGAAGUGCAGGUCUCUGCAUUUGGUUUCUGCCUCUAAUGCUGGUUCAUCCUGUGCUGUUGCUUGAUACAUUUUUGUCUCUGCUGCCCAACUGCCUAUAAAAAGGGGAGUCUGUGCACCAUCUGUGCUAUUACAUCUAAUGAGGGUGGCCAGAUCCCCAGAUGAUAUUGAAGAGCACCUUCCCUCUGACACUGCACCAUUGGAGUUGACAGGAGUUUUGCCUUUGAAGAAAUGUAAGCAUGGAGGUGGCAGUAAGCACAGACCGUGCUCCACUGGUCCUCUGACUGUGCCUUACGAGCAAAAAGCCUCCUAAACCCACUGGAUGUAGCUUUCCAACAGGUGAGGGGAACUGAGAUGCCAGUAUAUUAACAUGUUUUCCCUGGUGUGACUUACUGCAUCGAGGAUGUCAGCCGAGCUGCUGCGGAGGUCUGAGGACAACUCACACGUUGUGUAUCCCGUGUGUGUGUAUGUUCUUGUUGGCGAUUUACGUUGACAGGCAGCUGAAGGCACCCAAAGAUCUGGUGCGUGGUGACAUACCACAGAGCGUAUUGCCUUUAUGCUGUGAUUUUCCCCAAGGAAGAUGGCGAGCUCAGAAUGGGAUGCUAAAGCCACCGUAGCUGUAGCUACUCAUCAUGCAGUUUGGUGGCUCAUCUCCUUCCCAUGGUGCUUCUGAGCUGCCCAGGAGCUGCGUGUUGAUGAAAAAAAGUUUAAUCCAUGUUCCCACCCAGAAACAUUUUGCAAAGACAGUUCUGGGAAUGCAAUGGAUUGCUUCCUCCAGUAGAUUGAGGUGGGUAUUGGCAGACGGGUUUGACCAUACAGUUGGCCAGUUCUGUUAUGUGCUAGUUUUUUAACAAGUCGCUGCAGUGUGAUUGGUCCCAGGGGUAUCAUGAAUUUGGUUCUGCUUGGCAAAAUAA